RNAcentral lists this unclassified non-coding RNA (342 nucleotides) under Basidiomycota sp. Its description in RNAcentral is "partial contains small subunit ribosomal RNA, internal transcribed spacer 1, and 5.8S ribosomal RNA". The stretch from base 1 to 47 matches the Rfam family "Eukaryotic small subunit ribosomal RNA", at positions 1785 to 1831 of the family's 1831-position model. Lineage: Eukaryota; Fungi; Basidiomycota. The record is from RNAcentral.
AAAGUCGUAACAAGGUUUCCGUAGGUGAACCUGCGGAAGGAUCAUUAUUGAAUAAGUUGAGGGGUUGUAGCUGGCUCUUCGGGGCAUGUGCACGCCUUUCAAACUCAUCUCAACCACCUGUGCACCCUUUGUAGACCUGGAAAUGGAUCUCUCAAGGCAACUUGGAUUUUGAGGGUUCUGCUGGCUUUCCCAUAAGUUGGCUUCCCUUUGCUGUUUUCAGCGUCUAUGUUUUAUAAUAUACACCAUUUAAAUGUUAUAGAAUGUCUUUGAUGGGGCCUGUCGUAAAAAAGCAGCGUCCUUUAAAAAAUUAUACAACUUUCAACAACGGAUCUCUUGGCUCUC